GGGCCGAAGAUCGGUCACUCCUCGUUCGCAACGAGGAGGCCAGGGGUUCGAAUCCCCUCAGCUCCA
RNAcentral lists this transfer RNA (66 nucleotides) under Streptomyces sp. SID13031. RNAcentral's name for it is "tRNA-Ala". It matches the Rfam family "tRNA". From Rfam's summary of the family: Transfer RNA (tRNA) molecules are approximately 80 nucleotides in length. Their secondary structure includes four short double-helical elements and three loops (D, anti-codon, and T loops). Lineage: Bacteria; Bacillati; Actinomycetota; Actinomycetes; Kitasatosporales; Streptomycetaceae. The record is from RNAcentral.